Molecule: ribosomal RNA, 254 nt
Filed under: uncultured bacterium
Lineage: Bacteria
Description: partial 16S ribosomal RNA
Rfam family: Bacterial small subunit ribosomal RNA
Source: RNAcentral
UACGUAGGGUGCGAGCGUUGUCCGGAAUUAUUGGGCGUAAAGAGCUCGUAGGCGGUGUGUCGCGUCGGCCGUGAAAACCUGGGGCUUAACUCUGGGCUUGCGGUCGAUACGGGCAUCACUGGAGUUCGGCAGGGGAGACUGGAAUUCCUGGUGUAGCGGUGAAAUGCGCAGAUAUCAGGAGGAACACCGGUGGCGAAGGCAGAUCUCUGGGCCGUAACUGACGCUGAGGAGCGAAAGCGUGGGGAGCGAACAGG